Strigops habroptila (Kakapo) is the source of this 509-nucleotide long non-coding RNA. RefSeq lists it as uncharacterized. The transcript has 2 exons. The record is from RefSeq and is a predicted model, not a curated record. Lineage: Eukaryota; Metazoa; Chordata; Aves; Psittaciformes; Psittacidae.
GUGACUCCUCCCAUAAAAACUUCUAAUUUCUUUUUGGUGAACUAAGACUAAACUAGGUAGGAUUUUGUGUGUUAGAACUUACAGAUGCUCAACUAUAAGACAAAAGGCAGCUGUUAAGAGUGGCAAUUACCCUGUUCUUCACUUAUUCCUGUUUCCUCUAUUUUGUAUUGAGUUCUGAAAUUUUGCUUGAGUGUACAGACAUUGUGUUAAAUUCUAGAUAAGCUGUGAUCAUUUGGUUUUUUCACUUGAUUUUUCCUCCUCUCGUGCAAGUAUUAGCUUUGUGGUUUACAGCCCUGACUGUGCUUGCAGUGCUGGUGGACUAACACUGGUUCUGACAUCCUGAGAUUUCUACAGUCUGGUAAUUUUAGAAGUGCCUAGUUCUUCUUAAGAAGCAAACCAGCAAAAUCCACAGUAGUGUAACUGCCUGAAGCUGUUAGUGAUAACACAUUCAGUACAAGUCAGAUGCUGCUUUCAAGGCAACUGUAGUGAUACCUGGGUAGUGACAAAAG